UCAUUGAAGAAUCAUUUGUGUUAUUGUAUUUUUGUGAUUUAAUUUUUUGUGCUAUAGUUUAUUUGUACCGUGGGGGGUCGACAUUUAGUGUGAGUUAGUAGAAGCUUAUUUUGUUUAUUGUACCUUGUGUAUCAGGGUUUAUUGAAUUUUAUUAUUUAUUUUUAUUUCCCGAUUUUAAAGGAGUUAGUGAUUUAUGUUAGUUACUGUUUUAUUAGUAUUAAUGAUAGGUCGUUGGUAGUGAAAUGUUAAUCGUCUUUAGUGGUUUCUGGUUUUUCAAGAAAUGAAUUUAAUUCAUGCUCCUUAUUUAAUUUUUACUUUUGUGUAUAGGGUUUUAUUUGGUGUUAAGAUUAAGGGGGAUUAGCUUCUUAUUUGAUUUUUAUAAUUUUUUGUUUAAUUUAUUUUUGUGGAUUUUAUAGUGAUUUUCAAUUUGAUUAUGUUGAAAUUUUAUUUGUUUAUUUGUAUAUUUGUUUUUAUUUAAUUUGUUUAUUGGAAUGUUUUCUUUGCCUUUAUUGUGGAUGGUAAUUAUUAUAUAAUUAGUAAAUUUUCUUUUAUAUUGUUUAUUUCGUGUUAGAUUCUUUUGAGGAAUUCGGCAAAUUUUAUGUCCGCCUGUUUAACAAAAACAUCUUUUCUCGUUAGUUUUUGAGAUAUGGCCUGCCCGCUGACUUAUAUUGUGUUGAAGGGCCGCGGUAUUUUGACCGUGCAAAGGUAGCAUAAUCAUUAGUUCUUUAAUUGUGAUCUGGUAUGAAUGGUUUGACGAGACGUAUGCUGUCUUAAGUUAUUUGAAUAAUUUGGUUGAAUUUGGGGUUUGAGUUAAAAUUCUUAGAUGUUUUUAUGGGACGAGAAGACCCUAUAGAGUUUUACAUUUUACCUAUCUUGCUGUUAUUGUUUGUUUUAUUUGAUAUAAGUAGGUAAGGUGUUUUGUUGGGGUGAUGAGAGGAAUAUAUGUAACUUCUCUUUGAUUGAUUUAUAUUUAUUUAUAUUUGUUUGAUCCAUUUAUUGUGAUUGUAAGAUUUAAUUACCUUAGGGAUAACAGCGUUAUCUUCCUUGAGAGUUCUUAUUGGCAGGAAGGGUUGCGACCUCGAUGUUGGAUUAAGGUUAAUGUCUGGUGCAGGAGCUAGAAUUAUUAGGUCUGUUCGACCUUUAAAAUCUUACAUGAUCUGAGUUCAGACCGGCGUGAGCCAGGUUGGUUUCUAUCUAUAGUAAGUUGUUGUAUCUUAGUACGAGAGGACCGGAUAUUUGGAAUAAUUUUGUUGUUGUGAUUAUUAAUAAUUUAUUUGCUAUUUUGGCAGAUAAGUGCAU
Molecule: ribosomal RNA, 1299 nt
Filed under: Astratotermes hilarus
Lineage: Eukaryota; Metazoa; Arthropoda; Insecta; Blattodea; Termitidae
Description: 16S ribosomal RNA
Rfam family: Bacterial large subunit ribosomal RNA (bases 831-1199)
Source: RNAcentral